GGUGUGGGGGUGGGGGGCGGGUAUUACACACGUGCGUAAUGGGUGUGCGAAAACGAAAAACGUCCCUAGUUGUGGCCUGCGCUUGGAACAUCUGGCUGAACGCUCCUCUUCCUAACGGUGUGCCCUCAGGCGAGCUCUCUGCCCGGCUCAGGACCCGCUUUCCUUCAGGGGUAAAAUGAGAGCUGACCUCCAAGCAGCACCGUUGUAAACCUGUCUCAUGCACUUGUCCAGAGGCGGUAUAUCCAGCAGAUCCAUGCCCUGUCCUACCCAGGCCGGCAGCUGUCCUGUAACUAUUCACAGACACGUGCACGAACGUGGACACGCCUCCUCCUGUGGAGCCACAAAAGCAAGGAGGAGAUUGUGCAAGCAUUUCCCCCAGGUCAGCCUCCUCCUGCGCUCUUGAAUAGCUGCUUUGUACUAUAUCUCACAGGGUUUUGACCUUGGGCUGUGAGUUGCAUACGAACUAGAAAUGUCUGGUUUCUCUCUCUCCUUCUUAAAUUAAUUGCCCUUUCCCGGUGAAACUCCUUUUGCUUUGGCGGUUUUAACUUAAUUUUGCCUUCCAGCGCAUCUUUCUUUAUGCAAUACCGCCGCCUGGUGGUUACAACUGGGAAUGGCGUCAAGGCUGGAAGUAUUGAUACUAAUGAACGAUGUUAAGUCCGCAGGAACCAAAUCAAAAGAGGACACAAGAUGUGACUACAUCUUCUAUAACAGAGAUAGGAAGUCAAAGUAGGAGAAAGAAAAAGAGGAAGAAAGAUACUGAUAGAGAACAAGUACACGGAACCCUCUGAAAAACGAACCAACUGACUGCAGUUAAUCUUUCGGGGAGUUGGCAAGCCAGAUAAAGUACAAAACUUCAGACUAAGGAAAGAAUGGAUGCGGCUUCUUAUAUAUGCGUGUGUGUUUAAUGAAGGCAAUCUGGUAGUAAUGUGCUUAAUCUUAGGAAUGCAAAUUAUAUCAGAAAAAGAGAAAGCAAACCCACGUUCUUAACUCAGGCCUGGCCUAAACAUAAUCUUCAAAGAAAAACAACUGUCAUGUGGCUGGACAAGUUAAAAAGAACAUGAUGAAACCAAAGCAAAUAUUGGGAGAAUUUCCAGUGGAGUGAGCACUUCGAAAACAGAUUUGGGAUUACCUAUGCAAAAGUUAUACAAGGCAAGAGCUUGAAAUAAAGUGUGCAAACUUUA
Long non-coding RNA from Bubalus bubalis (water buffalo), 1181 nucleotides. RefSeq lists it as uncharacterized. The record is from RefSeq and is a predicted model, not a curated record. The transcript has 2 exons. Lineage: Eukaryota; Metazoa; Chordata; Mammalia; Artiodactyla; Bovidae.